AUCCAGGGAUGGGAAACGAACUCACAGUGUUCCGCUUACCGGGCAGAUGCCAUGUCCACUAAGCUCUACCCUGGA
This 75-nucleotide transfer RNA is filed under the name Cordylochernes scorpioides. RNAcentral's name for it is "tRNA-Thr". Lineage: Eukaryota; Metazoa; Arthropoda; Arachnida; Pseudoscorpiones; Chernetidae. The record is from RNAcentral.